This 1093-nucleotide ribosomal RNA is filed under the name uncultured Campylobacterota bacterium. Its description in RNAcentral is "bacterial SSU rRNA". It matches the Rfam family "Bacterial small subunit ribosomal RNA", at positions 335 to 1460 of the family's 1533-position model. Lineage: Bacteria; Pseudomonadati; Campylobacterota. The record is from RNAcentral.
ACUCCUACGGGAGGCAGCAGUGGGGAAUAUUGCACAAUGGAGGAAACUCUGAUGCAGCAACGCCGCGUGGAGGAUGACACAUUUCGGUGCGUAAACUCCUUUUAUAUGGGAAGAUAAUGACGGUACCAUAUGAAUAAGCACCGGCUAACUCCGUGCCAGCAGCCGCGGUAAUACGGAGGGUGCAAGCGUUACUCGGAAUCACUGGGCGUAAAGCGCGCGCAGGCGGCUAUUUAAGUUGGAUGUGAAAGCCUACGGCUCAACCGUAGAACUGCAUCCAAAACUAUUUAGCUAGAGUGUGGGAGAGGAAGAUGGAAUUAGUUGUGUAGGGGUAAAAUCCGUAGAGAUAACUAGGAAUACCAAAAGCGAAGGCAAUCUUCUGGAACACUACUGACGCUGAGGCGCGAAGGCGUGGGGAGCAAACAGGAUUAGAUACCCUGGUAGUCCACGCAGUAAACGAUGAAUGUUAGUCGUCGGGUAGCUAGUCUAUUCGGUGAUGCAGCUAACGCAUUAAACAUUCCGCCUGGGGAGUACGGUCGCAAGAUUAAAACUCAAAGGAAUAGACGGGGACCCGCACAAGUGGUGGAGCAUGUGGUUUAAUUCGAAGAUACGCGAAGAACCUUACCUAGCCUUGACAUAUUUUAGAACUCCGCAGAGAUGCAGAGGUGCCUCCGGGAGCUAAUUUACAGGUGCUGCACGGCUGUCGUCAGCUCGUGUCGUGAGAUGUUGGGUUAAGUCCCGCAACGAGCGCAACCCUCGUCACUAGUUACUAACGGUUCGGCCGAGGACUCUAGUGAGACUGCCUUCGUAAGGAGGAGGAAGGUGAGGACGACGUCAAGUCAUCAUGGCCCUUACGGCUAGGGCAACACACGUGCUACAAUGGCCAGGACAGUGAGACGCAAUACCGCGAGGUGGAGCAAAUCUAUAAACCUGGUCUCAGUUCGGAUUGUAGUCUGCAACUCGACUACAUGAAGCUGGAAAUCACUAGUAAAUCGUAGAUCAGCUAUGCUACGGUGAAUACGUUCCGGAUCUUGCACCUCACCGCCCGUUCAUUCACUAGUGGAUUUCGUCGACCGCCCUGCCCAGGUCGGAUCAU